Manis pentadactyla (Chinese pangolin) is the source of this 790-nucleotide long non-coding RNA. RefSeq lists it as uncharacterized. Lineage: Eukaryota; Metazoa; Chordata; Mammalia; Pholidota; Manidae. The record is from RefSeq and is a predicted model, not a curated record. The transcript is spliced from 2 exons.
CUAAAUUCCUUUUAGAGCUGCGGGCGGGGAUACCUGUGCGGCGCCCGGUUACCUGUGCCGACCUGGGAGGAAGGGCAGGGACGCAAAACAGGGAAUUUGGGCUGAGACGGAAGGGGCGAGCGGGCAGCGACCGGCUGCGGAGAGAGGCGGAAGCAAAGGGGACGGCACGGGCCGUCGGGAAGGAGCCUGAUGCCCCAGUUUUCAGCAAGGUGCAAGGCAACUGCCAUAGACUGUAUUUCCCAGCUUCCCUUACACAAAACUAAGCUUUGGCCAAUUAGGUGUGAGCAGAAGUAGUUGGUGAUACCUCUGGAAAGUGCGCUGAUAAAGGAUUCCCUUCUCCUUAUCUCUUCUCCUGAUUGGCUGGAAUGUAGACAGAUGGCUGGAGCCAGAUGGGCCAUUUUGGGCCGCGAGGUGGAAGCAGGGCAUGGGAUGGAAAGCCUCAAGGUACAGGAGUCUGGUGCCCAGUGAUCGUGGAGUUCCCCAUACGGCCUUCGGACUUCUUAACUCCACGUUUCUACGUGGGAGAGCAGUUUAGUCUCAGUAAUGUGGGGUUCUGGGACUGUAAAGACUUGCAUGUUGUUUAAGUCACAGUUCUGUUGGGUUUUCUGUCACUUGCACCCAAGCCUAAUGUUAAUUGAUAUGGAAGGCACUAUUCAUUAAUUCAGCUCACAUUUUUUUAAAGUUGGUAUCUAAUUUUUGUCAUCACAAGCCCAAAUAGUCCAAGUAAUGUUAUGCUGGCAUAAUGGAAAUAUUGAUAUUUAAAAAUAAAACACAUCAAUAUUUAAAUAUA